Molecule: ribosomal RNA, 521 nt
Filed under: uncultured bacterium
Lineage: Bacteria
Description: bacterial SSU rRNA
Rfam family: Archaeal small subunit ribosomal RNA
Source: RNAcentral
AACCUCCGCAAUGUGAGAAAUCGCGACGGGGGGAUCCCAAGUGCCAUUCUUAACGGGAUGGCUUUUCAUUAGUGUAAAGAGCUUUUGGAAUAAGAGCUGGGCAAGACCGGUGCCAGCCGCCGCGGUAACACCGGCAGCUCUAGUGGUAACAAUUUUUAUUGGGCCUAAAGCGUCCGUAGCCGGUUUAAUAAGUCUCUGGUGAAAUCCUGCAGCUUAACUGUGAGAAUUGCUGGAGAUACUAUUAGACUUGAGACCGGGAGAGGUUAGAGGUACUCCCAGGGUAGAGGUGAAAUUCUGUAAUCCUGGGAGGACCGCCUGUUGCGAAGGCGUCUAACUGGAACGGUUCUGACGGUGAGGGACGAAAGUUAGGGGCGCGAACCGGAUUAGAUACCCGGGUAGUCCUAACUGUAAACGAUGCGGACUUGGUGUUGGGGUGGCUUUGAGCUGCUUCAGUGCCGAAGGGAAGCUGUUAAGUCCGCCGCCCGGGAAGUACGGUCGCAAGACUGAAACUUAAAGGAAUU